AGUGAACGCUGGCGGUAGGCCUAACACAUGCAAGUCGAACGGCAGCACAGUAAGACCUUGCUCUUCCGGGUGGCGAGUGCCGGACGGGGGGGAAAAACAUGGGACCCUAUUUUUUCGGGGGGGAAAAGGUGGGGAACCUACGCCAAAUCCGACAUCGCACCACCGGGUAAAAGAGGGGGAUUUUCGAACCUUGCGCAAUGAAAUAACCGAUGUCGGAUUAGCUAGUUGGCGGGGGAAAGGCCCACCAAGGCGACGAUCCGUAGCUGGUCUGAGAGGAUGAUCAGCCACACUGGAACUGAGACACGGUCCAGACUCCUACGGGAGGCAGCAGUGGGGAAUAUUGGACAAUGGGCGCAAGCCUGAUCCAGCCAUACCGCGUGGGUGAAGAAGGCCUUCGGGUUGUAAAGCCCUUUUGUUGGGAAAGAAAAGCAGCAGGUUAAUACCCCGCUGUUCUGACGGUACCCAAAGAAUAAGCACCGGCUAACUUCGUG
RNAcentral lists this ribosomal RNA (491 nucleotides) under uncultured bacterium. RNAcentral describes it as "partial 16S ribosomal RNA". It matches the Rfam family "Bacterial small subunit ribosomal RNA", at positions 29 to 507 of the family's 1533-position model. The record is from RNAcentral.